GUGCCAGCAGCUGCGGUAAUACGAAGGGGGCAAGCGUUGUUCGGAAUUACUGGGCGUAAAGGGCGCGUAGGCGGUCUAUCAAGUCAGGCGUGAAAUUCCCGGGCUCAACCUGGGGGCUGCGCUUGAUACUGAUGGACUUGAAUGCGGGAGAGGAUAGUGGAAUUCCCAGUGUAGAGGUGAUAUUCUUAGAUAUUGGGAAGAACACCAGGGGCGAAGGUGGCGAUCUGGCCCGUGAUUGACGCUGAGGCGCGAA
RNAcentral lists this ribosomal RNA (253 nucleotides) under uncultured bacterium. RNAcentral's name for it is "partial 16S rRNA". It matches the Rfam family "Bacterial small subunit ribosomal RNA", at positions 505 to 757 of the family's 1533-position model. The record is from RNAcentral.